GGCCUCGUAGCUCAAUGGACAGAGCAACCUCAUGGCGACGGGGCAGAUGCGGGUUCGAGUCCCGCCGAGGCCG
This 73-nucleotide transfer RNA is filed under the name Chloroflexota bacterium. Its description in RNAcentral is "Chloroflexi bacterium tRNA-Ala". It matches the Rfam family "tRNA". Rfam says of the family: Transfer RNA (tRNA) molecules are approximately 80 nucleotides in length. Their secondary structure includes four short double-helical elements and three loops (D, anti-codon, and T loops). Lineage: Bacteria; Bacillati; Chloroflexota. The record is from RNAcentral.